AAGCAGAGGGGGCUUAGUGGUGGGGUGACUGCGUACCUUUUGUAUAAUGGGUCAGCGACUUAUAUUCUGUAGCAAGGUUAACCGAAUAGGGGAGCCGGAGGGAAAGCGAGUCUUAACCGGGCGUUAAGUUGCAGGGUAUAGACCCGAAACCCGGUGAUCUAGCCAUGGGCAGGUUGAAGGUUGGGUAACACUAACUGGAGGACCGAACCGACUAAUGUUGAAAAAUUAGCGGAUGACCUGUGGCUGGGGGUGAAAGGCCAAUCAAACCGGGAGAUAGCUGGUUCUCCCCGAAAGCUAUUUAGGUAGCGCCUCGUGAAUUCAUCUCCGGGGGUAGAGCACUGUUUCGGCUAGGGGGCCAUCCCGGCUUACCAACCCGAUGCAAACUGCGAAUACCGGAGAAUGUUAUCACGGGAGACACACGGCGGGUGCUAACGUCCGUCGUGAAGAGGGAAACAACCCAGACCGCCAGCUAAGGUCCCAAAGUCAUGGUUAAGUGGGAAACGAUGUGGGAAGGCCCAGACAGCCAGGAUGUUGGCUUAGAAGCAGCCAUCAUUUAAAGAAAGCGUAAUAGCUCACUGGUCGAGUCGGCCUGCGCGGAAGAUGUAACGGGGCUAAACCAUGCACCGAAGCUGCGGCAGCGACGCUUAUGCGUUGUUGGGUAGGGGAGCGUUCUGUAAGCCUGUGAAGGUGGCCUGUGAGGGUUGCUGGAGGUAUCAGAAGUGCGAAUGCUGACAUAAGUAACGAUAAAGCGGGUGAAAAGCCCGCUCGCCGGAAGACCAAGGGUUCCUGUCCAACGUUAAUCGGGGCAGGGUGAGUCGACCCCUAAGGCGAGGCCGAAAGGCGUAGUCGAUGGGAAACGGGUUAAUAUUCCCGUACUUGGUGUUACUGCGAAGGGGGGACGGAGAAGGCU
RNAcentral lists this ribosomal RNA (910 nucleotides) under Salmonella enterica. RNAcentral describes it as "partial 23S ribosomal RNA". It matches the Rfam family "Bacterial large subunit ribosomal RNA", at positions 568 to 1483 of the family's 2925-position model. The record is from RNAcentral. Lineage: Bacteria; Pseudomonadati; Pseudomonadota; Gammaproteobacteria; Enterobacterales; Enterobacteriaceae.